This is a non-coding RNA of Mycena rebaudengoi, 94 nucleotides long. NCBI's taxonomy places the organism in Eukaryota, Fungi, Basidiomycota, Agaricomycetes, Agaricales, Mycenaceae. The record is from the annotation of a GenBank genome assembly.
GGCCCAGUGGCGAACGGUUUACGCGUCUGCACUCAAUAAAUAGGUACCAUGCGCUAUAUGCAGAUAGACGCUCGCUCGACUCGAGCCUGGGCCG